RNAcentral lists this long non-coding RNA (514 nucleotides) under Phascolarctos cinereus (koala). Its description in RNAcentral is "lncRNA (ENSPCIG00000027830.2)". The record is from RNAcentral. Lineage: Eukaryota; Metazoa; Chordata; Mammalia; Diprotodontia; Phascolarctidae.
UAAAGACGCCAGUCAGGAAGUAUGUUGGAAGCCAAUGGGAAGUGGUUAGUUUCCCAGACUUCCUGAAGGCUCUGUCCUAGCGAGCUUCCCCUGUGGGCUGGCCCAAGAGGAGGAGUGACAGGGCUUCUCCAUAUGGAAGCAGCCCACACGCACUUAAAAUGAAAGUCAGCGAUGUCUCGAUUUAUCAAGAUUCAUGCUGAGGCAAGAAGGCCCACCUACACUCAGCAUGAGAAGAGAGUUAAAUUCUUUCUCAAUUCUUCUUGGGGCCUUUCUCACAAGAAGAUAAAUACAUGAACCGCGAUUUCAUCAGUAUAGAAAGCUGCUAAUGACUGAUAUAAAUCAGCAUCUUCCCUGUAACCUAAACAUCUCAUCUUACAGAUGAAGAAAGUGGACAGGGCUGGAAAGAUGCAAGCAUCAUUGGGUGUCCUUGAAGGUGCAAACCUGAAGCAUCUGGAGCCAGAUGAAUCGUCCAGAUGUGCGAUGGAUCAUUCAUGCACUUUGUAGCACACCAUAA